RNAcentral lists this ribosomal RNA (470 nucleotides) under uncultured bacterium. Its description in RNAcentral is "SSU rRNA". It matches the Rfam family "Bacterial small subunit ribosomal RNA", at positions 26 to 518 of the family's 1533-position model. The record is from RNAcentral.
AGGAUAAACGCUGGCGGCGUGCCUAACACAUGCAAGUCGAACGCGCUUUCGGGCUUCGGUGCGAGAGCGAGUGGCGGACGGGUGAGUAACACAUGGGUACCUACCUUGGAGUGAGGGAUACCGGCGAGAAAUCGCCGACAAUACCGCAUAGGCUUCUUCACAAGGGAAGCAAAGUGACGCGAGUCACGCUGUGAGAUGGGCCUGUGGCCGAUUAGCUAGUUGGGGGGGUAACGGCUUCCCAAGGCGACGAUCGGUAGCUGGUCUGAGAGGACGAUCAGCCACACUGGGAUUGAGAACGGCCCAGACUCCUACGGGGGGCAGCAGUGAGGAAUUUUCCGCAAUGGAGGCAACUCUGACGGAGCAACGCCGCGUGCAGGAGGAAGGUUUUCGGAUCGUAAACUGCUUUUCUCGGGGACGAGCAAGGACGGUACCCGAGGAAGAAGCCCGGCUAACUACGUGCCAGCAGCCGC